This 1661-nucleotide long non-coding RNA is filed under the name Ornithorhynchus anatinus (platypus). RNAcentral describes it as "lncRNA (ENSOANG00000048915.1)". Lineage: Eukaryota; Metazoa; Chordata; Mammalia; Monotremata; Ornithorhynchidae. The record is from RNAcentral.
AGAUUUCGGCCCCUCGUCUUGUUACUCGACUGUGCUUCCAGAGCCAGAAGCCGGGAAUCCCUUCCGGACCUCUCACCGAGAAAGCGUCUCGCGCGUCCCUUGAGCAGUUUGGACUCCGUCGUGAUCUUCCUCGAUUCCUCCCCUUCAUUUCAGGAGAUCCCGAUGGCUUAUGCUGCUGCUGCUAUACACAACUCUCACCCGCGUCCCUUCCCCCCCAUGUGCCGGGCGGCUUCUUUAAUCGAAUCAAAUUCGGCGUUGUCUUCCGGGGUGAUCGGGCUCUCCAGUUCCUCCCUACCCCUCUCUGCCCUGUUUUCACACUCAGCCCCACUCUUCGGCUUCUGCCCCACUAAGUGAAAUAUUCUUCCACCCCCCUCCUUUCCCUCUUCCUCUCUCUUCUCGCCCUCCCCCCGCCCCGAACAAAGACCAUCCACUUCUUCCGUUUCCAAGUUUCCUGGAUCAGGGUUCUCCCGCCCGGCCCUCCUCUCCCAGCUUCCUGUGCGGUCCCGCUCUCAUCGGGCCCCUCGACCCCCCUCUGCUUCUGUCAGUUCUCCAGAAGGAGGAAAACGAGGGCCGGAGGUUCACGGCGGGUGGGGGCGAAGAGGAACGGCGCUAGUCUGUUGGGUUGCUCUUGAUGAAGGUCAUGAAAACCAUCCAUUUGAACAGCUCCCCCCCCCCCCCAGCAGUCAAAAGCGUCCAUAUGCAGUUGUAAAACUCUCCGCGCCCCCUCGGGCUUGGUGGGAAGGCUCGGGAUGGCCGAAGUGCGGACCGUCUCGUUUGGAACCGGGACGCCGGCUCGCAGGGCGGAAGAGCGGGGAUCCGGUAGGCGAGCGGGGAAGGGGAGGACUCGAUUCCGGCUCUGCUGGGUGGCUUUGGACGAGUGGCUCAGCCAACUGUACGCUCCGAGCGCUCAGUACAGUGCUCUGCACCUAGUAAGCACUCAAUAAAUGCUAUUGAACGAAUGAAUGAAUGGAAGAGUAGGGAUCCGGUAGGCGAGCGGGGAAGGGGAGGACUCGAUAAACAGCGUGGCUCAGUGGAAAGAGCACGGGGUUGGGAGCCAGAGGUCAUGGGUUCAAAUCCCGCCUCUGCCGCUUGUCAGCUGUGUGACUUUGGGCAAGUCACUUAACUUCUCUGGGCCUCAGUUACCUCAUCUGUAAAAUGGGGAUGAAGACUGUGAGCCCCAGGUGGGAUAACCUGAUCACCUUGUAGCCUCCCCAGUGCUUAGAACAGUGCUUUGCACAUAGUAAGAGCUUAACAAAUGCCAUCAUCAUCAUCAAGUCGCUCAGCCAAUUGUACGCUCCGAGCGCUUAGUACAGUGCCCUGCGCCUAGUAAGCACUCAAUAAAUACUAUUGAAUGAAUGAAUGAAUGGAAGAGUGGGGAUCCGGUAGGCGAGCGGGGAAGGGGAGGACUCGAUUCCGGCUCUGCUGGGUGGCUUUGGACAAGUGGCUCAGCCAAUUGUACGCUCCGAGCGCUUAGUACAGUGCCCUGCACCUAAAAUAAAUACUAUCGAAUGAAUGAAUGGAAGAGUGGGGAGCCGGUAGGCGAGCGGGGAAGGGGAGGACGGUUGUAACCGGGGAGGCCCGAGGGACCCAGGAAUGUUCCCGGUCUGUGCGGAACGUGCUCAGAGACAAAGGGGCUUUUGGACUGUCUGCACGAUCCUCGA